CACGUAGGCACCAAGCGUUGUCCGGAUUUAUUGGGCGUAAAGAGCUCGUAGGCGGUUGAGUAAGUCGGGUGUGAAAACUCUGGGCUUAACCCAGAGCCGCCACCCGAUACUGCUCUGACUUGAGUUCGGUAGGGGAGCAGGGAAUUCCUAGUGUAGCGGUGAAAUGCGUAGAUAUCCGGAGGAACACCAGUGGCGAAGGCGGCCUUCUGGGAUGAGCCUGACGCUCAGACACGAAAGCUAGGGGAGCGAACGGG
RNAcentral lists this ribosomal RNA (254 nucleotides) under uncultured bacterium. RNAcentral's name for it is "partial 16S ribosomal RNA". It matches the Rfam family "Bacterial small subunit ribosomal RNA", at positions 524 to 776 of the family's 1533-position model. The record is from RNAcentral.